UUGUGGACGACAUGCUGCAGAUUUUGGCCGAAGUGGUGGACGAGCCCAUUUCAGCAGCAAUCAAAACCUCAAAGGCUGUAGGCCUGGAAAUAGAUGAGUCCACAGACAUGUCUUAAAACAACUGGACAUUCAUGUCAGGUAUACUGACAAAGAAGGGCAGCUCUUCUGCCAGUUCCUGGAUCUGGUAUCCAUACCAGAUGGCAUGGCAAGAACCAUUGCCGAGGCAGUGAAGGAGGUCAUUAUAGAAAAGGGAAUUCCUCAGGAUCGGAUUUAUGGCCUUGGCACGGACGGAGCAGCAGUCAUGACCGGAAAACAUAAUGGCACAGCCAAAUUACUGGCCGACACCUGGCCAGGAUUAGUGACAGUGCAUUGUGCUGCUCAUCGCCUCGCCCUCGCUUGCAAGGAUGCUGCAGAUGGAGUGCCCUACAUGAAGACCUUCAGAA
This is a long non-coding RNA of Gadus chalcogrammus (walleye pollock), 443 nucleotides long. RefSeq lists it as uncharacterized. The transcript has 3 exons. The record is from RefSeq and is a predicted model, not a curated record. Lineage: Eukaryota; Metazoa; Chordata; Actinopteri; Gadiformes; Gadidae.